Molecule: long non-coding RNA, 1394 nt
Organism: Leptopilina boulardi
Lineage: Eukaryota; Metazoa; Arthropoda; Insecta; Hymenoptera; Figitidae
Exons: 2
Source: RefSeq, a predicted model, not a curated record
AAAUUUAUUUUGUGUCAAUAAUAUUUAAAUGAACAAAUUUUUUCAAUAAAAUACAAAAAUUUUUAUUUAAUUUUAUUUAUAUCUUCUCUUCCGAAUGUGUCUUUUUGGAGAAAUUAAAAUUUAAUCCAUACACUGAGAGAAAUUAUAAUAGUUAGGAUAAUUCAUCUUAUUCAGAAAUUAUGAAAAUUAUAAAACAGGAGUUCUAUAACAAUUUCAUUAAAAAGAAUUAUUGUUUUGCCACUCAUAAUAGCCUCAUACUUAAUUUUUUUGUUUGCUGAUUAUAUUUUAAUUUUGUGAGAGGUUGAUUGAAAUAAUGUUAGAACUUUUCUCAACACCGGCUCUAUUUUUCUACGCCUAUAAGGAAAAGGAGACAUUCAAAAAAACAAAAUUCUAAACUUCUCGGAAUGAGGAAUUUUUAAUUAAAGCCUAUAAAAAUUUGUUUUCACAUAUCUUGAAUAGAACCAAUUCACAAGAAAUUCUCACUAUGCGUCUGUUUUUCUUCGAAAAAUUACACUAUAUCUUAAUUUAGAUGUAGAUACAAAGACAACAACGUAUGUUAUUGUCAAAUUUUAAAAUUAAAAAUUUUAAUUCACCUACUGAAGAAAAAAAUUUGGCUUCGCCCAUUAAUUCUGAUACACAGGGAAAUUUAGCGACUAAUAAUAUUCUCGGAUCUUUAAGGGGAUCUGGACAAUUAAUAGUAUAAAAGGCAGUUUGCUAACUGAUAAUAUUCCUGAAACUUCGAGUGAAUUUGGACAAUUUACUAUAAAAAAAGAUUUAUCAAGUGAUGAUAUUCCCAGAACUUCGAAAUGAUCUCAACAAUUUACUUUAAAAGAAGAUUUAUCAAGUGAUGAUAUUCUUGUAAAUUCGAAAGCUUCUGGACAAUUUAGUAAUAAGUAUUGGUAUUAUAUCAUCAUGUUUGGAGAAUAUGAAUACACAAUUCAUCUUCUCCAAAUAUGAUGAUAUAAUACCAAUACUUAUUACUAAAUUGUCCAGAAGCUUUCGAAUUUAUAAGAAUAUCAUCACUUGAUAAAUCUUCUUUUAAAGUAAAUUGUUGAGAUCUUUUCGAAGUUCUGGGAAUAUCAUCACUUGAUAAAUCUUUUUUUAUAGUAAAUUGUCCAAAUUCCCUCGAAGUUUCAGGAAUAUCAUCAGUUAGCAAACUGCCUUUUAUACUAUUAAUUGUCCAGAUCCCCUUAAAGAUCCGAGAAUAUUAUUAGUCGCUAAAUUUUCCUGUGUAUCUGGAUUAAUGGCCGAAGCCAAAUUUCUUUCUUCAGCAGGUGCAUUAAAUGAAAAUCUAGUUUUUAUACUAUUUGAUAAUUGAAUCAGUAUGUAGUUGUUAUUUUACUUAAUUAAAUCAUUGUCAAAGUGAAUGAAUAAAACCACGCAGUUUUUUAAUA